CGGGGGAGGCCGGAUCCUGGGCUGUGUCCAGGCGCCCUGUGCUCCGGGGCCUGCGCUGUUGGAUUCGCGCUCCCGCCCCGCAGCCCCCU
RNAcentral lists this microRNA precursor (89 nucleotides) under Nyctereutes procyonoides (raccoon dog). Its description in RNAcentral is "mir-8799 microRNA precursor family". It matches the Rfam family "mir-8799 microRNA precursor family". The record is from Rfam by way of RNAcentral. Lineage: Eukaryota; Metazoa; Chordata; Mammalia; Carnivora; Canidae. RNAcentral also lists the same sequence under 1 other name.